This 252-nucleotide ribosomal RNA is filed under the name uncultured bacterium. Its description in RNAcentral is "partial 16S ribosomal RNA". It matches the Rfam family "Bacterial small subunit ribosomal RNA", at positions 524 to 775 of the family's 1533-position model. The record is from RNAcentral.
UACGAAGGGGGCUAGCGUUGCUCGGAAUGACUGGGCGUAAAGGGCGCGUAGGCGGAUGGCACAGUCAGAUGUGAAAUUCCCGGGCUUAACCUGGGGGCUGCAUUUGAUACGUGUUGUCUAGAGUGAGGAAGAGGGUCGUGGAAUUCCCAGUGUAGAGGUGAAAUUCGUAGAUAUUGGGAAGAACACCAGUGGCGAAGGCGGCUCACUGGCCCGGAACUGACGCUGAGACGCGAAAGCGUGGGGAGCAAACAG